GACGAACGCUGGCGGCGUGCUUAACACAUGCAAGUCGAACGGAAAGGCCCUGCUUUUGUGGGGUGCUCGAGUGGCGAACGGGUGAGUAACACGUGAGUAACCUGCCCUUGACUUUGGGAUAACUUCAGGAAACUGGGGCUAAUACCGGAUAGGAGCUCCUGCUGCAUGGUGGGCGUUGGAACGUUUCGGCGGUUGGGGAUGGACUCGCGGCUUAUCAGCUUGUUGGUGGGGUAGUGGCAUACCAAGGCUUUGACGGGUAGCCGGCAUGAGAGGGUGACCGGCCACAUUGGGACUGAGAGAGGGACCAGACUCCUACGGGAGGCAGCAGGGGGGAAUAUUGCACAAUGGGCGGAAGCCUGAUGCAGCAACGCCGCGGGCGUGAUGACGGCCUUCGGGUUGUAAACCGCUUUCGCCUGUGACGAAGCGUGAGUGACGGUAAUGGGUAAAGAAGCACCGGCUAACUACGUG
Molecule: ribosomal RNA, 468 nt
Filed under: uncultured bacterium
Lineage: Bacteria
Description: partial 16S ribosomal RNA
Rfam family: Bacterial small subunit ribosomal RNA
Source: RNAcentral